This 460-nucleotide ribosomal RNA is filed under the name uncultured bacterium. RNAcentral's name for it is "partial 16S ribosomal RNA". It matches the Rfam family "Bacterial small subunit ribosomal RNA", at positions 338 to 795 of the family's 1533-position model. The record is from RNAcentral.
CCUACGGGCGGCAGCAGUGAGGAAUAUUGGUCAAUGGACGCAAGCCUGAACCAGCCAAGUAGCGUGAAGGAUGACGGCCCUACGGGUUGUAAACUUCUUUUAUACAAGAAUAAACUCAGAUACGUGUACCUUUUUGUAUGUAUCUUAUGAAUAAGGAUCGGCUAACUCCGUGCCAGCAGCCGCGGUAAUACGGAGGAUCCGAGCGUUAUCCGGAUUUAUUGGGUUUAAAGGGUGCGUAGGCGGGUUGUUAAGUCAGUUGUGAAAUCUUGAGGCUCAACCGUAAAAUUGCAAUUGAUACUGGUAGUCUAGAGUGCAGUUGCGGUAGGCGGAAUGCGUGGUGUAGCGGUGAAAUGCUUAGAGAUCACGAAGAACACCGAUUGCGAAGGCAGCUUACCAAGCUGCCACUGACAUUGAUGCACGAAAGUGUGGGUAGCAAACAGGAUUAGAUACCCUUGUAGUC